UUAGCAGGUCUGAUUGAAAUUGCAAUUGUUCCAUCUCCUUUAAACAUGUUUUUAAGCAGAAAUCGAAGAGUUAUGGAUAUAUUAGUUUUGUGCUGGGUGCGUCUGACACCCAGAAGGAAGCGUAUUCGACCGCAUUAAGUAUGUUUGACGCCUAGUUCACAGAGACUUUAGAAGAGUUCGUCUCCUAGCGUACUGGAGUGAGAUAGAAAAACAGCUGACUUGGUGUGAGAAGUGAAAAAGAAAGAGAUAGAGAUAGAUGUGGAUGUAGCGGGAUAAGAAACCGUACUGGAAAAAUGGUAAAAAUAAAAAAUUCAAAAAUAAAUCGUCGCCAAAAUGCACUUGCUUGUAUAUUUCAACCAACCAAUCAAAAUGGAUGCAACCGUCGGCCGCUUCGGCAUUCGAGGCGUGGUUCUAGGCGCAUGGUUCUUUGCUUCCAAGCCGAUGGACCACAAAUGGGCUAUACUUGAUAGAGCUUGGAUGCACUAAAAUUAGGGGCUUAACGGGCUGCGACUUUCCGAAUGCCUGCUUCCCGGCUUUUGGUUUCUUGGCGUUCGGUUUGAAUUCUAAUCGGAAUUCAAUUUCAUUAUUCCUUUUUAUUUAUAUUUAUUACUUCUUAUAACGUUAGGCAACAAAAUCAAACUUUGAUUUACGCUUCAGCCAAAUCAACUUUUCCUAAUAGAUUUGGGGCUGUAAAAAUUUAUAAUGAUCUAUGGUUUUUUCAUUAUUUUUAACUUUAUCAAAAUGUUUUUUCAAAGGAAGAUUCACAUAAUUUAAGUAUCUUUCAUCUGGUUGCUUUAAACUAUGCAAUUCUAAA
This 814-nucleotide small RNA is filed under the name Drosophila pseudoobscura pseudoobscura. RNAcentral describes it as "GA30524". Lineage: Eukaryota; Metazoa; Arthropoda; Insecta; Diptera; Drosophilidae. The record is from RNAcentral.